Molecule: ribosomal RNA, 344 nt
Filed under: uncultured bacterium
Lineage: Bacteria
Description: bacterial SSU rRNA
Rfam family: Bacterial small subunit ribosomal RNA
Source: RNAcentral
AGAGUUCGAUUCUGGCUCAGGAUGAACGCUGGCGGCGUGCUUAACACAUGCAAGUCGAACGAAGCACCUUGGACAGAUUCUUCGGAUGAAGUCCUUAGUGACUGAGUGGCGGACGGGUGAGUAACGCGUGGGUAACCUGCCUCAUACAGGGGGAUAACAGUUAGAAAUGGCUGCUAAUACCGCAUAAGCGCACGGUACUGCAUGGUACAGUGUGAAAAACUCCGGUGGUAUGAGAUGGACCCGCGUUGGAUUAGCUAGUUGGCAGGGUAACGGCCUACCAAGGCGACGAUCCAUAGCCGGCCUGAGAGGGUGGACGGCCACAUUGGGACUGAGACACGGCCCAG